This 937-nucleotide ribosomal RNA is filed under the name uncultured archaeon. RNAcentral's name for it is "bacterial SSU rRNA". It matches the Rfam family "Archaeal small subunit ribosomal RNA", at positions 1 to 922 of the family's 1478-position model. The record is from RNAcentral.
UUCCGGUUGAUUCUAGCCGAACCGACUUGCUAUUUGGGUGGAGGAUAAAGCAUGCGAGUUGUAUGGGAUUACCUAAAUUUCCCAUGGCAAACUGCUUAGUAACACAUGAUCAACUUACCCUAUGGAGAAAUAUAACCUCGGGAAACUGAGGAUAAUGUUUCAUAGUUGAAUAGGCUUGGAAAAGUUUUUCAAUGAAAGGGAUGAGAAAAAUGGUUCUUAUCUGCCAUAGGAUAGGAUCGUGCUCGAUUAUGGUUGUUGGUGAGGUAACGGCUCACCAAGCCGAUAAUCGAUAGGGGCCGUGAGAGCGGGAGCCCCAAGAUGGGUACUGAGACAGCGACCCAGGCCUUACGAGGCGCAGCAGGUACGAAACCUCCGCAAUACACGAAAGUGUGACGGGGUUACCCAAAGUGUUCUUAUUGAACUGUGGCAGGUGAGUAAUGUCCCCUGCUAGAAAGGAGAGGGCAAGGCUGGUGCCAGCCGCCGCGGUAAAACCAGCUCUUCAAGUGGUCGGGAUAAUUAUUGGGCUUAAAGUGUCCGUAGCCGGUUUAGUAAGUUCCUGGUAAAAUCGGGUAGCUUAACUAUCUGUAUGCUAGGAAUACUGCUAUACUAGAGGGCGGGAGAGGUCUGAGGUACUACAGGGGUAGGGGUGAAAUCUUAUAAUCCUUGUAGGACCACCAGUGGCGAAGGCGUCAGACUGGAACGCGCCUGACGGUGAGGGACGAAAGCCAGGGGAGCGAACCGGAUUAGAUACCCGGGUAGUCCUGGCCGUAAACGAUGCAUACUAGGUGAUGGUACGGCCAUGAGCCGUGUCAGUGCCGUAGGGAAACCGUUAAGUGUGCUGCCUGGGAAGUACGGUCGCAAGGCUAAAACUUAAAGGAAUUGGCGGGGGAGCACCACAAGGGGUGAAGCCUGCGGUUCAAUUGGAUUCAACGCCGGA